Molecule: RNA transcript, 3205 nt
Organism: Bicyclus anynana (squinting bush brown)
Lineage: Eukaryota; Metazoa; Arthropoda; Insecta; Lepidoptera; Nymphalidae
Gene: croc
Gene name: fork head domain-containing protein crocodile-like
Exons: 3
Source: RefSeq, a predicted model, not a curated record
UGUGGCUGUAAGAAUAAUUGACAAUUGUGCGGAACAAAGGGCAUUAAGGGCUGGGGAGGAAGGGGUGCGAAUGCGGGCUUUGUUGCAAAAAGCCGGGCAGGCCCCGCCUGUCGAGCCGCCCAGACCGCUCGGCGUACCAUCUGACGCAACCUGGCUCACAUAGAGCGAGACGAAAAUAGCUUUGGAACUGUCGCCAAAGCGAGACGGCGGUUCCAUCCGAGAGGGCGGCCUCAUUCGUAACGCAACACACUGCGGCGUCGCCCACAAUUCCGCUCAUUCGCUUCUCGUUGAGCGUCCGCUAUGUAAACGGGCCUUGUUGUGAAUCUAAACAAAAUCAGUCAGUCAUCGUUUUGUUGCCGUGAGAGAAGCGCGUCGACGUACCGCGUUCGGGUUCUGAUCAUGUUGUGGCAGUGAACGUAUGGACACGAUGCACGCGUUGUUCGGGGAACAGGGCCACUACGCGUACCGCGGCGGAGCCACGGGGGGCUACUCCGCCGGGGUCACGCCGUACGCGUACGAGCAGUACCAUCGCUACGGGUACGGGCCGCCCUACCUGCACCCUCACCAACAACAUGUCGGCACUCCCAAAGACAUGGUCAAACCGCCGUACUCCUACAUUGCUCUCAUCGCAAUGGCAAUACAAAACGCACCGGACCGUCGAAUAACACUCAACGGUAUCUAUCAGUUCAUAAUGGAACGUUUUCCUUACUACAGAGAAAAUAAACAGGGUUGGCAGAACUCCAUUAGGCACAAUUUAAGUCUUAAUGAAUGUUUCGUGAAAGUUGCGAGAGACGAUAAGAAACCCGGUAAAGGGAGCUACUGGACUCUGGAUCCUGACUCGUACAACAUGUUCGACAACGGGUCCUACUUGAGACGACGGCGCCGCUUUAAGAAAAAAGAUGCCCUUAAAGAAAAAGAGGAGGCGUUAAAGCGACAGCAACAGCUGCAACAGGCUCAGGAAGCGCUGGCGGCACAAGAGGCACUCGGCUCCACCGACGCGUUAGGUCAAGCGCGAGACGUCAAGCCAGACGUUAAGCCACGAAUAUUCGAAUGCAGACCUAAACGGGAGCCAGGUUCUGAUUGUACGAGAUACGACAAACUGACGGAACCGAUAGACGACUUCAGCGAACCCCGAUUACCUCCGUCGGCAGUGUACUGUUCGCCGCAGCCGUACGCUCUCGCCGCGGAGGAGUUCCGCGCGGCCACGAGCGGCUGGUACGCCGCGCCCGAGCCGCCGGCGGAGCAGCUGCCGCCCGGCUUCCGCGACCUGUUCGAGCCGCCCAGCUGCCAGCUCGCCGGCUUCCGCGGCGGCUCGCCCACGCCGGACCCGUACCGCGCGUCCCCGCCGCACCACCACUACCGCGCGCCGGCGCCCUCCUACUACCACCACCAGGCGUGCGUGGCCGCCGCUCCCGCUGCCGCUCAUAAAUCCUACUGAGAUGCUCUCAGGAGGCCGGCAUCGCACGGCGCCGAACGGAUUUAGCCGUCCGCGUCAGUUCCAGAGCGGAUAAAUAUAGCGCGGUAGCCGGAGAUGCCGUGAAGCCAAGUGGCGGCGCGUCGAUAACCACUGUUUACAGAUCGGCGGCCGCCCUGCCGCCUCCCGCUCCGUUCACUGCUGUACCGAGGUAGAACGGAAUGAAGACAGCGGGAGGCGAAUGGCAGGGGAAACAUGGUUAAUUCAUUGAACCUAUUUUUUCUUAGUUACGCUGUGAAAAGUGAACAACUUUGAUCAACGAAUUAAAAAUUUAUGGUGUUUGUGACUAGAUAUUCCAUUAAGGAUACGAGUAUUCAAAUCUGAGUGACUGUACUGAACUGUGCUUAGCAUCUACUAUAAUUGUUACGUUGUCCAUUGGAUCAAAUGAUCUGGAUCCGAACUGGCAUAAUAUCAGUCUGGUUGUAAUAAUUAUAAGAGUUUAAACCAUCAAUCAUGAAACGCAGGACCCGAGGCGAUGGUAGAGUGGGAAAUGGCAUAUUUUGUAUACUUAGAUUUUGUAUAAAAAGUGCUAUACUUAUGCCAUAGAGAGUAUAAGUAUCUAGAGGGUUUAACUUUUGCUUCUGCUUGGUCGAUCUGUGUCUCACGAUUAUAAAUUAUAAGCUAAUCAAUUUGUACAAAUAGUCCAUUAUAAUGUUAUAUUUUAAGAACGGAGUAUUGAAUUUUUUGGAGGACACAAUUCCCAAUUAUCAAGUUUAAAAAAGCAAAAAAGUUAUAUAAACAUGUAGGCAAAACAAUUUGCUACAAUUUUUUUGUAAGACGCAUAGUUUCCAAGUUAUCACGAAAAAGGUGUUUUCACCCCUUUUUUAAAUGUCGGCCGGGGGACAAGGGUGGCGAUCUCAAAACCUUGAGGUUAAGUUUCUAUUGACCUCCCACACAUGUCCUAAAAAUAAAAUUGCGUCCUCUAUAAAAUGCAAAGCUCAUGUAACAUUUCAAUGGCGUAAAAGCAUUAUAUGCCAGACCAAUUGUAACGAAUAUGUCGUACAAAUAUGGUAGAAUGUAGAGAGCUCCUGAAACCAUUGUUGUAUAUUUUCAUUUUUCAGAGAAAAGUUGUGUUAUUUUUAAAAUAAAAUGUAUACAUUGAAGGUAAUUGAUAGUACGUGUUUUACUAUCAAUCGUUACCAUUAUCAAAGUAAUUUACAUUGUGAUUUGCGGAUUUCAACUUUUGGAAAGAGGUUUACAUCCGUAUAGUGCACGUGGAACUUUUAUACAUAGACAGUUUCGCCUUUUUAUAUUAUCUACUAGAAGUUAGCUAAUGUAAAUUCAACAGGUAAGUCGAAAUGAACUUUUUUCUUAAAAAUGAAAAUAUACAGUGGUGCUAAUUUGACUGUACACAAUUCUCUCCGCGUAAUGGAAGAUUAACUUAGUUAACUAAGUAGUAACCUAUAUAUGUCUGCCUGUUUACAGCCAUAUUGUCGUGAAAUCAGAAUAUUAUUUAUUUAUCUUUAUUUGUAGCUAUAAUAACUAUUGCGAUGCCAAAAAAAAAAAAAAAAAAUUCAGAAUUUAAAUUAACUGUUGUAACGCACUACUAAUUUCACCUUCAAUUUAUACUCCAGUCAAAUAAGAAUUUUACUGAUAAACUGAUAUUUAAAUAUUAAUGAGACAACUGUAAAAGAACAACAAAAUGAAAGUGUACACGUGUUUACAGCUUAUAAUUCAUCACAAGGUUGGCUACUUUAUUUUCCUUAAUUGACUGGCGUAUUAGUAAAUUUC